UCGGGAAUUUUGGGCAAUGGGCGAAAGCCUGACCCAGCAACGCCGCGUGAAGGAUGAAGUAUUUCGGUAUGUAAACUUCGUAAGAAUAGGAAGAAUAAAUGACGGUACUAUUUGUAAGGUCCGGCUAACUACGUGCCAGCAGCCGCGGUAAUACGUAGGGACCAAGCGUUGUUCGGAUUUACUGGGCGUAAAGGGCGCGUAGGCGGUUUGUCAAGUCAGUUGUGAAAUCUCCGAGCUUAACUCGGAACGGUCAGAUGAUACUGCUUUGCUAGAGUGCAGAAGGGGCAAUCGGAAUUCUUGGUGUAGCGGUGAAAUGCGUAGAUAUUCGCAGGAACACCAGUGGCGAAGGCGACUUGCUGGACUUAUGGUGACGCUGAGACGCGAAAGCGUGGGGAGCAAACAGGAUUAGAUACCCCGGUAGUCCCUGAGCGGGCUGGCAAGGCGCAU
RNAcentral lists this ribosomal RNA (447 nucleotides) under uncultured bacterium. RNAcentral's name for it is "bacterial SSU rRNA". It matches the Rfam family "Bacterial small subunit ribosomal RNA", at positions 355 to 825 of the family's 1533-position model. The record is from RNAcentral.